RNAcentral lists this long non-coding RNA (1306 nucleotides) under Cyanistes caeruleus (blue tit). RNAcentral describes it as "lncRNA (ENSCCEG00000014694.1)". Lineage: Eukaryota; Metazoa; Chordata; Aves; Passeriformes; Paridae. The record is from RNAcentral.
AUGAGUCAUAACCCAGAAAAAGCUCUGCUGAGAAUACAGCUCACACUCUUCUGCAGUGUAGCCCAGGACAGUCCUAGUGAACUCUGUGGGACCUCCCUAGCAAAGAGCUGGGCACAGAAUGAGGGAACAAGAAGGUCUGGUGUUCUCCCUGAAGUCUGCAGUUCCAGCACAUGUUUAAAGGCAGCCUUCCUGCUCACAGUGGGAGUCAGGCUGCUCAGUGCUGAGUCUGGAAUGAAGUUCUCGCAGAGGAUCCCUGGAGUGGUUGCUGCUGGAUGUGGACGACUGCACACAUCCAGGGUGCUCUGAAUGUGCCAAGCUGGGGAUGGCAGCAAGCACUGAUCUGGGUACCUCUCCACAUCUGUCUCACCCGGACACUGAAGACAGUGGCCCCUGUUUGGGGCUGCUGAAGUGCCAACCGUAUGUGGCCCUGUAUGUCCCACAGAGAGUGAGCAAGCUCUGGUUGUCCUUGGGGAUGCCCUCUUAGGCUGAAUUUCUACAUUGGUCCUUCAUUUCACAUGCUGGCCUCCUCCUGGCCUUCAUCAGACUGUACAAGCAGACUCUGAGUAGUUGAAAGAGAUUCCACUAUUUGAGUAGUUUAUCAGUGCUUUCUAUGUUUAAUGUGAUUCUAUUCCCAGGAGAAUGGAGUAUGGGACACACUGGGCAUUACUGUUUAGAUACUACACUAAAAAUAGUGUCUGUGGCUACACAGGGAUGAUUCCUGUCCCAUUUCUAAUUGCAUCCACUCUCUGAACAUGGCAUAAUCUCCUUUACUAUAAUAUGUGUGGGAAAAAAAAAAUCUUAGUAGCAUUUUUGUUCAGACCACCUAUGAUAAACACUCCUUUUUCCUCAGCCUAUUGUGCUUUUAACUUUUACUGAACCUAUAUUUUGUACCUAGUUUCUUCAUGCUUUGUACUAUUGAGAUCCAAGAAUUUUUUUUUUUGCAAAUGGUAACAAAAAAAGCAUGCAAAGACUAGAAACAGGCAUGCAGUAAAGAGAGUUUAAAAACAUAUAUUUUCCUCUGUGUGUAUUUAGCAGUUUCCAUCCUUGCCAUAUGUUCUUUUCCUCAUCAUUUUGCCUUUUAGAUUGUUCUUUAACACUUGCCUGUUUUCUUGCUUCUACAACAGAAGGGGAAUUGAUCUUUCAUUUGUUCUGCAAAUAUUCCUUAUUGUCCCAGGUUUUAUUACCCCAUCUGUUAUUGAGUGAAAGUCUCUUGUGGUCUCAUUUUUCCAGCUGAUCACACUAUACCACAGACUAUAUUUCAAUGUAAUCGCUAUCUACUGUAUGAUGUGUAAAUGAGAGAGAGAGA